ACGAUGAUGCCCACUUGUGGGUGGAUUAGUGGCGAACGGGUGAGUAACACGUGAGUAACCUGCCCUUGACUCUGGGAUAAGCCUGGGAAACUGGGUCUAAUACCGGAUAUGACCUUCCAUCGCAUGGUGGUUGGUGGAAAGCUUUUGUGGUUUUGGAUGGACUCGCGGCCUAUCAGCUUGUUGGUGGGGUAAUGGCCUACCAAGGCGACGACGGGUAGCCGGCCUGAGAGGGUGACCGGCCACACUGGGACUGAGACACGGCCCAGACUCCUACGGGAGGCAGCAGUGGGGAAUAUUGCACAAUGGGCGCAAGCCUGAUGCAGCGACGCCGCGUGAGGGAUGACGGCCUUCGGGUUGUAAACCUCUUUCAGUAGGGAAGAAGCGAAAGUGACGGUACCUGCAGAAGAAGCGCCGGCUAACUACGUGCCAGCAGCCGCGGUAAUACGUAGGGCGCAAGCGUUA
This 462-nucleotide ribosomal RNA is filed under the name bacterium TN102C. RNAcentral's name for it is "bacterial SSU rRNA". It matches the Rfam family "Bacterial small subunit ribosomal RNA", at positions 66 to 543 of the family's 1533-position model. The record is from RNAcentral.